RNAcentral lists this ribosomal RNA (402 nucleotides) under uncultured bacterium. RNAcentral's name for it is "partial 16S ribosomal RNA". It matches the Rfam family "Bacterial small subunit ribosomal RNA", at positions 355 to 774 of the family's 1533-position model. The record is from RNAcentral.
UGGGGAAUAUUGGACAAUGGGCGAAAGCCUGAUCCAGCCAUGCCGCAUGAGUGAAGAAGGCCUUUGGGUUGUAAAGCUCUUUUAGUGAGGAAGAUAAUGACGGUACUCACAGAAGAAGUCCUGGCUAACUCCGUGCCAGCAGCCGCGGUAAUACGGAGAGGGCUAGCGUUAUUCGGAAUUAUUGGGCGUAAAGGGCGCGUAGGCUGGUUAAUAAGUUAAAAGUGAAAUCCCGAGGCUUAACCUUGGAAUUGCUUUUAAAACUAUUAAUCUAGAGAUUGAAAGAGGAUAGAGGAAUUCCUGAUGUAGAGGUAAAAUUCGUAAAUAUUAGGAGGAACACCGGUGGCGGAGGCGUCUAUCUGGUUCAAAUCUGACGCUGAAGCGCGAAGGCGUGGGGAGCAAACA